GACGAACGCUGGCGGCGUGCUUAACACAUGCAAGUCGAACGAUGAAGCCUAGCUUGCUAGGUGGAUUAGUGGCGAACGGGUGAGUAAUACGUGAGUAACCUACCUUUAACUCUGGGAUAAGCCUGGGAAACUGGGUCUAAUACCGGAUACGACCAAUCUCCGCAUGGGGUGUUGGUGGAAAGCGUUAUGUAGUGGUUAUAGAUGGGCUCACGGCCUAUCAGCUUGUUGGUGAGGUAACGGCUCACCAAGGCGACGACGGGUAGCCGGCCUGAGAGGGUGACCGGCCACACUGGGACUGAGACACGGCCCAGACUCCUACAGGAGGCAGCAGUGGGGAAUAUUGCACAAUGGGCGCAAGCCUGAUGCAGCGACGCCGCGUGAGGGAUGACGGCCUUCGGGUUGUAAACCUCUGUUAGCAGGGAAGAAGAGAAAUUGACGGUACCUGCAGAGAAAGCGCCGGCUAACUACGUG
This 471-nucleotide ribosomal RNA is filed under the name uncultured bacterium. Its description in RNAcentral is "partial 16S ribosomal RNA". It matches the Rfam family "Bacterial small subunit ribosomal RNA", at positions 28 to 507 of the family's 1533-position model. The record is from RNAcentral.